UGGGGAAUUUUGGACAAUGGGGGAAACCCUGAUCCAGCCAUCCCGCGUGUGCGAUGAAGGCCUUCGGGUUGUAAAGCACUUUUGGCAGGAAAGAAACGUCGCGGGUUAAUACCCCGCGAAACUGACGGUACCUGCAGAAUAAGCACCGGCUAACUACGUGCCAGCAGCCGCGGUAAUACGUAGGGUGCAAGCGUUAAUCGGAAUUACUGGGCGUAAAGCGUGCGCAGGCGGUUCGGAAAGAAAGAUGUGAAAUCCCAGAGCUUGAACUUUGGAACUGCAUUUUUAACUACCGGGCUAGAGUGUGUCAGAGGGAGGUGGAAUUCCGCGUGUAGCAGUGAAAUGCGUAGAUAUGCGGAGGAACACCGAUGGCGAAGGCAGCCUCCUGGGAUAACACUGACGCUCAUGCACGAAAGCGUGGGGGAGCAAACAGGAUUAGAUACCCUGGUAGUCCACGCCCUAAAACGAUGUCAACUAGCUGUUGGGGCCUUCGGGCCUUGGUAGCGCAGCUAACGCGUGAAGUUGACCGCCUGGGGGAGUACGGCCGCAAGAUUAAAAACUUAAAUGAAUUGACGGGGGUCAAGCUGUUUCCCU
RNAcentral lists this ribosomal RNA (591 nucleotides) under uncultured bacterium. Its description in RNAcentral is "partial 16S ribosomal RNA". It matches the Rfam family "Bacterial small subunit ribosomal RNA", at positions 355 to 939 of the family's 1533-position model. The record is from RNAcentral.